This 281-nucleotide ribosomal RNA is filed under the name uncultured bacterium. Its description in RNAcentral is "partial 16S ribosomal RNA". It matches the Rfam family "Bacterial small subunit ribosomal RNA", at positions 524 to 798 of the family's 1533-position model. The record is from RNAcentral.
UACGUAGGGUGCAAGCGUUUAAUCGGAAUUACUGGGCGUAAAGCGUGCGCAGGCGGUUUUGUAAGUCUGUCGUGAAAUCCCCCGGGCUCAACCUGGGAAUUGCGAUGGAGACUGCAAGGCUAGAAUCUGGCAGAGGGGGGCAGAAUUCCACGUGUGAGCAGUGAAAUGCGUAGAGAUGUGGAGGAACACCGAUGGCGAAGGCAGCCCCCUGGGUCAAGAUUGACGCUCCAUGCACGAAAGCGUGGGGAGCAAACGAGGAUAGAAACCCCGAGUAGAUCCGA